Molecule: unclassified non-coding RNA, 1180 nt
Filed under: Leishmania donovani
Lineage: Eukaryota; Euglenozoa; Kinetoplastea; Trypanosomatida; Trypanosomatidae
Description: gene:unknown
Source: RNAcentral
CAUGUACAAGAGUCUUCUUUAAAGUGUGUGCAACGGCUUCGUGCACAGACGUACUCGAAAUGUAGUGCCGACGUUUAGUUCCGCGGUAACUCUAAACCUCAUUGGGCAUCUUUUCGCCUCAUGCCCCGGUAACACAAUAAAUACUGUGGCGUCACUGGGACAAGUGGCUGGUCUGGUAUGACAGUAUGGAUGAGAUGCCGAAAAGCCACCUAUACUGUAAAAACUAACUCCAUACACACGCGGCCGCGAAGAUGCAACUCAGUUUUGUCUCUUAUACUUCCGCCAUUCCCAAUCAGCUCAGGGCCCAGUACACACGCCGACUCUCUCUGGGUGGAGGCGAAGCCGCCCGCCGCUCUCUAUCCCUGCCAAAUGCGGAGCCACCUCUGGUGGUGACAGGGUGAGGCGCCUACGACCUGGGGCGAGGUGAGAGCGAUGUGUCGCUGCUGGUGUCGGAUAGCAGGUCCUGGACGGCGUUGCGUCUGAGCGACCUGCGACCGUGGACACACGUGUGCCAUCCACAUGAUGGGCAGAGUGUCCGCGUCGCUUGAACGCACCCCACCACCCGACCCUCGCACUGCCCGCUGGUGUGGGGAGCCCGAGGCCCCUCCGAGGGGGCUGCAUCACGUGGCGACCGGCAUGAUGUGGGAGCGGCUGUGAGGCGACCUGCGCGAUGCGGCGGCGGUGGUGGUGGUCGGGGCUUGAGGCGGAGGCGGUGCUGAGAUGACUGGGCCGACGCAUUGCUGUACCGCGUGUGCGCACCGCUGCUUCGCAGGGCGGGAUGGGGCCUGCGGCAUGCCGGGGUGGGGUGGCGCUGGAGCUCGUGCUGGACGGCAGAGGGCGGGCGCACUUUGUAAAGGAAAAGUGUGCAUAUGGUCGUGAAGUCACCUAUUAUUUUCUAAUAGAAGGAGUGUUAGAUUGAAAACAUGACCUGUACGUGAUAUCUUAGAGGAGAAUAGUGUUUUGUAGUCAACGGUUGUGGUUUACACCGGCAUUAGAAGCCCUGAUCAGGGGUACAGUCAUCCCACUAACUGUGAAAGCCGGCACGAAUGAGAAAUCGUAGCAUUUUAUAGGUGGUACUUUACUCCAACUUUUUGGAUUUUUCGUAAGCAAGUAUCAGUGGCAAAUAUGCAUAAAGUGAUAAAUCUUGUGCGUGAUCUGAAGCUGCUGCGCUCCUGGACUG